GGGGGGGAAGAAAUCGUGGGAGCGGGGCGGCUCGGGCGGUUGCGCUGAGUGAAGAGAGUGGGGAGGGAGCGGUUGGAGAGGUGGGGGAUGAAGCUGACGUGCAGGCCCCACACGUUAGAGGGAGAAGGGAGGAAAGGAUGGGGCAGCCGGAUGGGCCUCGGCCCAAGAGGGGAAAGGGGAAGGCGCGGGGUGGGCUAGGCCAGCAGGCCGAGAAGGAGGGGAACUGAGUUUCUUUUCUUAUUUUUUUUGAACC
This 253-nucleotide long non-coding RNA is filed under the name Sorghum bicolor (sorghum). RNAcentral's name for it is "long non-coding RNA (SBIC_LNC016447)". The record is from RNAcentral. Lineage: Eukaryota; Viridiplantae; Streptophyta; Magnoliopsida; Poales; Poaceae.